This 209-nucleotide ribosomal RNA is filed under the name uncultured bacterium. RNAcentral's name for it is "partial 16S ribosomal RNA". It matches the Rfam family "Bacterial small subunit ribosomal RNA", at positions 524 to 737 of the family's 1533-position model. The record is from RNAcentral.
UACAGAGGUCCCAAGCGUUGUUCGGAUUCACUGGCGUAAGGGUGCGUAGGUGGUGGGGUAAGUCGGAUGUGAAAUCUCCGAGCUCAACUCGGAACUGCAUUGGAAACUACCCUGCUAGAGGGUCGGAGGGGGACUGGAAUACUUGGUGUAGCAGUGAAAUGCGUAGAGAUCGGAGGAACACCAGUGGCGAAGGCGACUACCUGGACCAG